GAAAUGCGAUAAGUAAUGUGAAUUGCAGAAUUCAGUGAAUCAUCGAAUCUUUGAACGCACCUUGCGCUCCUUGGUAUUCCGAGGAGUAUGCCUCUUUGAGUGUCAUUUCAUUCUCAACCCCUCCAGUUUUCUUUGACUGGCUUGGUAGCUUGGAAAGUGGGGGAUUGAUAUGCGGGCCUCUUUAGAGGUCGGCUCCCCUGAAAUGCAUUAGCGGAACCGUUUGCGGGAACUGUCACUGGUGUGAUAACUAUCUACGCCAAAAGACAACUGCUCUCUGGUAACUUCUGCUUCAAAUUGUCCACCUUGGGACAACGAUAUUUGAAUGCUUGACCUCAAAUCAGGUAGGACUACCCGCUGAACUUAA
This 364-nucleotide unclassified non-coding RNA is filed under the name uncultured Tulostoma. RNAcentral describes it as "sequence contains ITS1". The stretch from base 1 to 105 matches the Rfam family "5.8S ribosomal RNA", at positions 50 to 154 of the family's 154-position model. The record is from RNAcentral. Lineage: Eukaryota; Fungi; Basidiomycota; Agaricomycetes; Agaricales; Agaricaceae.